CCUACGUGAGGCAGCAGUGAGGAAUAUUGGUCAAUGGACGCAAGUCUGAACCAGCCAUGCCGCGUGCAGGAAGACGGCUCUAUGAGUUGUAAACUGCUUUUGUACGAGGGUAAACGCAGAUACGCGUAUCUGUCUGAAAGUAUCGUACGAAUCAGGCUCGGCUAACUCCGUGCCAGCAGCCGCGGUAAUACGGAGGAUUCAAGCGUUAUCCGGAUUUAUUGGGUUUACAGGGUGCGUAGGCGGUCGGAUAAGUUAGAGGUGAAGGCCCGAGGCUCAACUUCGGAAUGGACUUUGAUACUGUUCGGCUAGAGAGCAGUAGCGGUAGGCGGAAUGUAUGGUGUAGCGGUGAAAUGCUUAGAGAUCA
This 364-nucleotide ribosomal RNA is filed under the name uncultured bacterium. RNAcentral describes it as "partial 16S ribosomal RNA". It matches the Rfam family "Bacterial small subunit ribosomal RNA", at positions 338 to 699 of the family's 1533-position model. The record is from RNAcentral.